RNAcentral lists this non-coding RNA (28 nucleotides) under Rattus norvegicus (Norway rat). The record is from RNAcentral. Lineage: Eukaryota; Metazoa; Chordata; Mammalia; Rodentia; Muridae.
UAGAAAGGAAAUGUGUUUGUGUGUUAUA